GACGAACGCUGGCGGCGUGCCUAAUACAUGCAAGUAGAACGCUGAAGGAAGGAGCUUGCUCUUUCCGGAUGAGUUGCGGACGGGUGAGUAACGCGUAGGUAACCUGCCUGGUGGCGGGGGAUAACUAUUGGAAACGAUAGCUAAUACCGCAUCACAGUAGAUGUUGCAUGAUAUCUACUUAAAAGGUGCAAUUGCACCACUUCCAGGUGGGCCUGCGUUGUAUUAGGUAGUUUGUGAGGUAAACGCUCACCAAGGCGACGAUACAUAGGCGACCUGAGAGGGUGAUCCGGCCAACUGGGACUGGGACAACGCCCAGACCUCCACCGGAGGCAGGAGGAGGGAAUCCUCGGCAAGUGACGGAAGGCUGACCGAGCAACGCCGCGGGAGUUGAGAAGGGUUUCGGAUCGUAAAGCUCCGUUGUAAGAGAAGAAAGAGUGUGAGAGUGGAAAGUUCACACUGUGACGGUAUCUAACCAGAAAGGGACGGCUAACUACGUG
This 497-nucleotide ribosomal RNA is filed under the name uncultured bacterium. RNAcentral's name for it is "partial 16S ribosomal RNA". It matches the Rfam family "Bacterial small subunit ribosomal RNA", at positions 28 to 507 of the family's 1533-position model. The record is from RNAcentral.